CCAGUCUAAUCAUAAAGAAAACAUCAUACAAAUCCCAACUGAGAGACACUCUACAAAACUUCUGGCUGGUACUCCUCAGAACGACCAAGGUUGUCAAACAUGAGGAAAGUCUGAGAAACUGCCACAGCCAAAGGAAGACUAAGGAGACAUGACUGAUAAAUGCCAUAUGGUAUCUGGGAUGAAAUCCUGAAACAGUAAAAGGUUCACCAACUGGGCAGCAGAGAAAAGUGGGAAGGAAUUUUCCACUACUAUGAAAACCACAUUGAGCAAAGAGAAACGACAUUCUGGAAUGGAGGAACUUCAAACCUGAAGAUAAUGGAGAAUGAUGAAUCCUUCUUUUCCCAAUUCUGCACUGAUCUCUUCAUCUGCACAA
Molecule: long non-coding RNA, 373 nt
Organism: Eptesicus fuscus (big brown bat)
Lineage: Eukaryota; Metazoa; Chordata; Mammalia; Chiroptera; Vespertilionidae
Exons: 3
Source: RefSeq, a predicted model, not a curated record